GAUGAACGCUGGCGGCGUGCCUAAUACAUGCAAGUCGAGCGAACGGACGAGAAGCUUGCUUCUCUGAUGUUAGCGGCGGACGGGUGAGUAACACGUGGAUAACCUACCUAUAAGACUGGGAUAACUUCGGGAAACCGGAGCUAAUACCGGAUGAUAUUUUGAACCGCAUGGUUCAAAAGUGAAAGACGGUCUUGCUGUCACUUAUAGAUGGAUCCGGGCUGCAUGAGCUAGUUGGUAAGGUAACGGCUUACCAAGGCAACGAUGCAUAGCCGACGUGAGAGGGUGAUCGGCCACACUGGAGCUGAGACACGGUCCAGACUCCUACGGGAGGCAGCAGUAGGGAAUCGUCCGCAAUGGGCGAAAGCCUGACGGAGCAACGCCGCGUGAGUGAUGAAGGUCUUCGGAUCGUAAAACUCUGUUAUUAGGGAAGAACAUAUGUGUAAGUAACUGUGCACAUCUUGACGGUACCUAAUCAGAAAGCCACGGCUAACUACGUG
Molecule: ribosomal RNA, 497 nt
Filed under: uncultured bacterium
Lineage: Bacteria
Description: partial 16S ribosomal RNA
Rfam family: Bacterial small subunit ribosomal RNA
Source: RNAcentral